UGUGCUGAUGAUGAUUACCUGGCUCCCUCUACUGAUAUUCAUGAGGAAAACUGCCAUAUCCGUUACCCAAUUUACUGAGGCACA
This is a small nucleolar RNA of Lethenteron reissneri (Far Eastern brook lamprey), 84 nucleotides long. RefSeq annotates it as small nucleolar RNA SNORD100. Lineage: Eukaryota; Metazoa; Chordata; Hyperoartia; Petromyzontiformes; Petromyzontidae. The record is from RefSeq and is a predicted model, not a curated record.